CGGACGAACGCUGGCGGCGUGGAUUAGGCAUGCAAGUCGGACGGUAGGGCUUUAUCGUAAGAUAGAGUUUGAGAGUGGCGAACGGGUGAGUAACACGUAGGAAUCUACCCUUAAGACGGGGACAACCCAGGGAAACUUGGGCUAAUACCGGAUGAGAGUGCGAGAGAUUGCAUUUAAAAGGAUGGCGAAAGUUGUCGCUUAGGGAUGGGCCCGCGUCCCAUUAGCUAGUUGGUGAGGUAACGGCCCACCAAGGCGACGAUGGGUAGCCGGCCUGAGAGGGUGAACGGCCACACUGGGACUGAGACACGGCCCAGACUCCUACGGGAGGCAGCAGUUGGGAAUCUUCGGCGGAAUGGGCGCAAGCCUGACCGAGCAACGCCGCGUGAGUGAUGAAGGUUUUCGGAUUGUAAAAGCUCUGUCUUCCGGGACGAUAAUGACGGUACCGGAGGAGGAAGCCACGGCUAACUACGUG
Molecule: ribosomal RNA, 472 nt
Filed under: uncultured bacterium
Lineage: Bacteria
Description: bacterial SSU rRNA
Rfam family: Bacterial small subunit ribosomal RNA
Source: RNAcentral